GGGUGUGGAACACGUGUGCACUGCCUUUAUCUGGGGGAUAGCCUUUCGAAAGGAAGAUUAAUACCCCAUAAUAUGUUGAAUGGCAUCAUUCGACAUUGAAAACUCCGGUGGAUAGAGAUGGGCACGCGCAAGAUUGGAUAGUUGGUGAGGUAACGGCUCACCAAGUCUACGAUCUUUAGGGGGCCUGAGAGGGUGAUCCCCCACACUGGUACUGAGACACGGACCAGACUCCUACGGGAGGCAGCAGUGAGGAAUAUUGGACAAUGGGUGAGAGCCUGAUCCAGCCAUCCCGCGUGAAGGACGACUGCCCUAUGGGUUGUAAACUUCUUUUGUAUAGGGAUAAACCUACCCUCGUGAGGGUAGCUGAAGGUACUACACGAAUAAGCACGGUAACUCCGUGCCAGCAGCGGGUAAAUACGGAGGGUGCAGCGUUAUCCGGGUUAUUGGGUUANAGGGUCCGUAGGCGGAUCUGUAGUCAGUGGUGAAAAUCUCACAGUUAAUCGUGAAACUGGCCAUUGAAUACUGCCAGGGUCUUGAAGUCGGUGGGUGGAAGUCAGUGGGCAAUUAACGUUAUGUACGCGGUGGAACAAUNGCANUAGA
RNAcentral lists this ribosomal RNA (600 nucleotides) under uncultured bacterium. RNAcentral's name for it is "bacterial SSU rRNA". It matches the Rfam family "Bacterial small subunit ribosomal RNA", at positions 104 to 694 of the family's 1533-position model. The record is from RNAcentral.